GAUGAACGCUGGCGGCGUGCCUAAUACAUGCAAGUCGAGCGAACAGACGAGGAGCUUGCUCCUCUGACGUUAGCGGCGGACGGGUGAGUAACACGUGGAUAACCUACCUAUAAGACUGGGAUAACUUCGGGAAACCGGAGCUAAUACCGGAUAAUAUAUUGAACCGCAUGGUUCAAUAGUGAAAGACGGUUUUGCUGUCACUUAUAGAUGGAUCCGCGCCGCAUUAGCUAGUUGGUAAGGUAACGGCUUACCAAGGCAACGAUGCGUAGCCGACCUGAGAGGGGGAUCGGCCACACGGGGACUGAGACACGGGCCAGACUCCGACGGGAGGCAGCAGUAGGGAAUCUUCCGCAAUGGGCGAAAGCCUGACGGAGCAACGCCGCGUGAGUGAUGAAGGUAUUCGGAUCGUAAAACUCUGUUAUGAGGGAAGAACAAAGGUGUAAGUAACUGUGCACAUCUUGACGGUACCUAAUCAGAAAGCCACGGCUAACUACGUG
Molecule: ribosomal RNA, 497 nt
Filed under: uncultured bacterium
Lineage: Bacteria
Description: partial 16S ribosomal RNA
Rfam family: Bacterial small subunit ribosomal RNA
Source: RNAcentral